RNAcentral lists this ribosomal RNA (837 nucleotides) under uncultured bacterium. RNAcentral describes it as "bacterial SSU rRNA". It matches the Rfam family "Bacterial small subunit ribosomal RNA", at positions 60 to 904 of the family's 1533-position model. The record is from RNAcentral.
AGCGAACGGUAAGUGGAUUUCUUCGGAAAGAAGCUUUGCUGACUUAGCGGCGGACGGGUGAGUAACGCGUGGGUAACCUGCCUCAUACAGGGGGAUAACAGUUAGAAAUGACUGCUAAUACCGCAUAAGCGCACGGGACUGCAUGGUCCAGUGUGAAAAACCGAGGUGGUAUGAGAUGGACCCGCGUCUGAUUAGCUGGUUGGCGGGGUAACGGCCCACCUAGGCGACGAUCAGUAGCCGACCUGAGAGGGUGGCCGGCCACAUUGGGACUGAGACACGGCCCAAACUCCUACGGGAGGCAGCAGUGGGGAAUAUUGCACAAUGGGGGAAACCCUGAUGCAGCAACGCCGCGUGAGUGAAGAAGUAUUUCGGUAUGUAAAGCUCUAUCAGCAGGGAAGAGAAUGACGGUACCUGACUAAGAAGCCCCGGCUAACUACGUGCCAGCAGCCGCGGUAAUACGUAGGGGGCGAGCGUUAUCCGGAUUUACUGGGUGUAAAGGGAGCGUAGACGGUUCUGCAAGUCUGAAGUGAAAGCCCGUGGCUUAACCGCGGAACGGCUUUGGAAACUGUGGAACUGGAGUGCUGGAGAGGCAAGCGGAAUUCCUAGUGUAGCGGUGAAAUGCGUAGAUAUUAGGAGGAACACCAGUGGCGAAGGCGGCUUGCUGGACAGUAACUGACGUUGAGGCUCGAAAGCGUGGGGAGCAAACAGGAUUAGAUACCCUGGUAGUCCACGCGGUAAACGAUGAAUGCUAGGUGUCGGGGAGCAAAGCUCUUCGGUGCCGCCGCAAACGCAGUAAGCAUUCCACCUGGGGAGUACGUUCGCAAGAAUGAAACUCAA